RNAcentral lists this ribosomal RNA (986 nucleotides) under uncultured organism. Its description in RNAcentral is "bacterial SSU rRNA". It matches the Rfam family "Bacterial small subunit ribosomal RNA", at positions 460 to 1460 of the family's 1533-position model. The record is from RNAcentral.
UGUAGGGCAGUGACGGUAGUGCAGGAAUAAGCAUCGGCUAACUCCGUGCCAGCAGUCGCGGUAAUACGGAGGAUGCGAGCGUUAUCCGGAUUCAUUGGGUUUAAAGGGUGCGUAGCGGCUUCUUAAGUCAGUGGUGAAAUCCUGCGGCUCAACCGUAGAACUGCCAUUGAAACUGGGGGGCUUGAAUACAGAUGAAGUAGGCGGAAUGAGUAGUGUACCGGUGAAAUGCAUAGAUAUUACUCAGAACACCGAUUGCGUAGGCAGCUUACUAAACUGAUAUUGACGCUGAGGCACGAAAGCGUGGGGAGCGAACAGGAUUAGAUACCCUGGUAGUCCACGCAGUAAACGAUGUUCACUCGCUGUUUGCGAUAUACAGUAAGCGGCUUAGCGAAAGCAUUAAGUGAACCACCUGGGGAGUACGUCGGCAACGGUGAAACUCAAAGGAAUUGACGGGGGCCCGCACAAGCGGAGGAACAUGUGGUUUAAUUCGAUGAUACGCGAGGAACCUUACCUGGGCUUAAAUGUAGGUUGCAUGAGGUGGAAACACCCUUCCCUUCGGGGCUACCUACAAGGUGCUGCAUGGUUGUCGUCAGCUCGUGCCGUGAGGUGUCGGGUUAAGUCCCAUAACGAGCGCAACCCUUACCGUUAGUUGCCAUCAGGUCAAGCUGGGAACUCUAACGGGACUGCCACCGUAAGGUGAGAGGAAGGUGGGGAUGACGUCAAAUCAGCACGGCCCUUAUGUCCAGGGCUACACACGUGUUACAAUGGCCGGUACAGAAGGCAGCUACACCGCGAGGUGGUGCUAAUCCUAAAAGCCGGUCCCAGUUCGGAUCGUAGUCUGCAACCCGACUACGUGAAGUUGGAUUCGCUAGUAAUCGCGCAUCAGCCAUGGCGCGGUGAAUAAGUUCCCGGGCCUUGUACACACCGCCCGUCAAACCAUGGAAGCUGGGGGGACCUGAAGUCUGUCACCGAAAGGAGCGGCCUAG